Molecule: non-coding RNA, 320 nt
Organism: Nerophis lumbriciformis (worm pipefish)
Lineage: Eukaryota; Metazoa; Chordata; Actinopteri; Syngnathiformes; Syngnathidae
Source: RefSeq, a predicted model, not a curated record
CACAGCAUCUGUGAGGCACUUCUAAACGUAUGCCACUGUGGAGACGGGCUUUGAAAAGCAAUCAGAGUGGGAAUCGUCUCGCUGGAAGCCAGAAGACAUCAAAGGGAAGACCCGCUUGAGUCGAGGCAGGAAGCGGCGUCGUGGGAAGUGAUUGCGGCGGCUGGUUCUGUCAGUGUCUACAGAGCUGGAGCGGCGGGCGGCGAUGAUGCUGGAGCUGACUCCAGGACAGGAGGCACCGUUCCACCCAGCUACAACGCCGACCUGUCCACCAGCGGCAGGAACUGGAGGACUAGUCAGGAUAGAGGGAAAUAAGACUGCAG